AGGGUUUGAUUCUGGCUCAGGACGAACGCUGGCGGCGUGCCUAACACAUGCAAGUCGAACGGAACCAUUGAUUUCGGUUGAUGGUUUAGUGGCGAACGGGUGAGUAACGCGUGAGCAACCUGACCCUUUGAGGGGGAUAACACCUGGAAACAAGUGCUAAUACCGCAUAAGACCACGGAGCGGCAUCGCUCAGGGGUCAAAGGAGGAAUCCGCAGAGGGAGGGGCUCGCGUCCCAUUAGAUAGUAGGCGGGGUAAAGGCCCACCUAGUCGACGAUGGGUAGCCGAGCUGAGAGGCUGAUCGGCCACACUGGAACUGAGACACGGUCCAG
This 329-nucleotide ribosomal RNA is filed under the name uncultured bacterium. Its description in RNAcentral is "bacterial SSU rRNA". It matches the Rfam family "Bacterial small subunit ribosomal RNA", at positions 8 to 334 of the family's 1533-position model. The record is from RNAcentral.